Molecule: long non-coding RNA, 927 nt
Organism: Xenopus tropicalis (tropical clawed frog)
Lineage: Eukaryota; Metazoa; Chordata; Amphibia; Anura; Pipidae
Exons: 3
Source: RefSeq, a predicted model, not a curated record
GCGGAAGGAGCGGUAGCCAUUUUAGAUUUGGGCAAACAGUAGCGCUACAGACAGUCUUCGGGAAUGUUUUGCUCUGUCUAUAAAGAGGCACAGCUGCUUACUAUUUCCUAUACUGGGCCAGACCCAGGUUCCAUUUGCAACGUCAAAUGCAAUCUUGCCCCUAGGUCACACCCACUAAUAACAACUUGGAAUUGAAUUAUAACACAAAAGGAGGACUGUGGGAGGAGAGAAGAAUGGCUUUGGGCAGGGAAAACUGGACAAUGGCAUCCAAGGACUGGCAAAAUGUAGAUGUGAAUAAACUGCGGAGGCGCUGAGCCGUGCCUAACUCUGCUAGACAGAAAGUGCCGCGGUGCGAGGUACAUGGUAAAUAGAGACAAAAUUAGGAUGCCUUGUUCUAAUAGUGUCAGAAAUGCGCAUGAGAGUGUAUGAAGCACGGUGUGAAUAAAAUAUGACUCUCUUCUCAUCUUCUCCGCACCAACCCCUGCUAUGAGGAGGGGACCGGGAGGUGAAAAUGUAAUGGAUGUGAAAAGGAUAGCAUUAUUUCUUCCUGAGCCAGAGCCCUGUGCAGAAUUAGCCAAGGGAAGGCUUUUAGGCCUAAGGGCAGGCAAAUGUUUUGGGGAGAGAGACCAUCUGUAGCCCUGCGGUCAGGGGUAAAACUGCCAUCUGUACCCUGGGGCCCAACUGGCACAGUUGUGAUUUACAAGCAGCUAAAAAUAGUCAGAGGUUUAAUGGCAAUCCAGAAAAUACAUUUCUUGCCCCCCAAAGCCAGGAAAUGCCCAUGAACACAUGUCCAUUCCAUAGUGUAAAGGUGGGCCAUAAGAACUGCUAUCCUAGACCCUGCUGGCAGCUUAUUGGCCUAUUGUUUAGUCACAGCCCUACAGCCUGAUCAGUAUUAAAGCAAUACUGUCAUGAGAAAACACGCUUUUU